This 512-nucleotide ribosomal RNA is filed under the name uncultured bacterium. RNAcentral describes it as "partial 16S ribosomal RNA". It matches the Rfam family "Bacterial small subunit ribosomal RNA", at positions 28 to 507 of the family's 1533-position model. The record is from RNAcentral.
GAUGAACGCUGGCGGCGUGCCUAAUACAUGCAAGUCGAACGAAACUUCUUUAUCACCGAGUGCUUGCACUCACCGAUAAAGAGUUGAGUGGCGAACGGGUGAGUAACACGUGGGCAACCUGCCCAAAAGAGGGGGAUAACACUUGGAAACAGGUGCUAAUACCGCAUAACCAUAGUUACCGCAUGGUAACUAUGUAAAAGGUGGCUAUACUACCGCUUUUGGAUGGGUCCGCGGCGCAUUAGCUAGUUGGUAGGGUAAAGGCUUACCAAGGCAAUGAUGCGUAGCCGAAUUGAGAGGUUGAUCGGCCACAUUGGGACUGAGACACGGCCCAAACUCCUACGGGAGGCAGCAGUAGGGAAUCUUCCACAAUGGGCGAAAGCCUGAUGGAGCAACGCCGCGUGGGUGAAGAAGGUCUUCGGAUCGUAAAACCCUGUUGUUAGAGAAGAAAGUGCGUGAGAGUAACUGUUCACGUUUCGACGGUAUCUAACCGGAAAGCCACGGCUAACUACGUG